This is an RNA transcript of Pygocentrus nattereri (red-bellied piranha), 3813 nucleotides long. It is a transcript of the gene named shisa family member 9a, with no coding region annotated. NCBI's taxonomy places the organism in Eukaryota, Metazoa, Chordata, Actinopteri, Characiformes, Serrasalmidae. The transcript is spliced from 5 exons. The record is from RefSeq and is a predicted model, not a curated record.
UCUCAUUCGGAUGCCCCCUGGAUGCCUCCCAGUGGGGGUGUACCAGGCACAGGCUACCGGGAUGAGACCCCGCUGGAGGGAUUACAUCUCCAAGUUGGCUGGGAGCGGUUUGGGGGUCCCUGAGAAUGAACUGGAGGAAGUUACGGGGGGCAGGGUCAUCUGGGAUUCUCUACUCUCCCAACUGCUACCGCGACCCUAUCAGGACUAAGCGGUUAACAAUGAUGAUGAUGAUGAUAAUUGAUGGGCAUGGUGUAGUAAUAAACUGUAGAUUUAUUAACACUAGUCUAUAUUGAUACAGAGGUAUUGGCAAUGCAUUUGAAUGACUUAACACACUUAUCACUAACUAAGUAUUUGGUGUAGAUAGCAUAGUCACAAAUAUCAGUAUUUGGUUUGCAGGGUUUGGACACAAGUGUUAACUAUAUAACACUUGCAUAAUAAGCAGAGGUGUUUAGUACCUAGUUCAGAUCUACCAAGUAAAAAGAAAGUAGGUAAAGGAACCUACAUUUUGCUCAUUAUAGCCAUUUAUACUUAGUUUCUAUUCCUUUUUUAUAUUUUGAUGGUGACUGUACUGUUUUGUGAUUGAUCUCUGACUUUGGAGCUUUAGCAUUUUAUUUUAGAGCAAUAGAAUCAGAAAUAGAGAAGAACAGAGCCAAAAAAUAUUCCCUUACUGAUAGAUGAUGGAUUUUAUGUGUACUUUUAAUUUCACUCAAGUUAUUAUUUGACCCAAGUAUCGCUACUUGAGUAUGGAUUAAAGCUUAUGACCAAAACGCACGUACCUGCCAUGCUUGAACUUAAUGUUGUCUAAUCCCUCCCUCUCCUUGUCCUCCUCAUUCCUUUGUGCACUAGCUCCUCCGUCUCUCUCCUCUUCACUCAGUGUGUUGCGUGUUGCGCGCGCGGCUGCUGCUUACACUUCUGCUCGGAGACCUUAGCGCAACCCAUGCACGAGAGCUGCAAAAUGAGGAGCGUUAACGCACGGCCCUCGCUUUCUCCACACAGAAAAAUCAUCAGUCAGGAAGGCAGCAGCAGGAUGAAACGGACAGCUUUGCUUUUAGAGUAUUUGUUGGUGAAAGUGAUGGUGUUGGUGUGUCGCGCUGACGGCGAGCCCAAGCAGCAGCUGGACGGUUUCAUCAUGCUCGCGGGCUCUAACGGAUCGAGGGAGGAGGACGGGGCCGUGUCCGAGGCCCCACACUCUCCGGACGAGUGCAGGGGCUACUACGACGUGAUGGGUCAGUGGGACCCUCCGUUCAUCUGCCAGACCGGCAGCUACCUGUACUGCUGCGGCACCUGUGGCUUCCGCUUCUGCUGCGCAUUCAAAGACUCGCGCCUGGACCAGAGCACGUGCAAGAACUACGACACACCUGUGUGGCUCAAGGGUCAAACCCCAUACAAGAAGAAGGACACCAGGCAUGAUCCGACCAAGGAUAAGACCAACAUGAUUGUCUACGUCAUUUGCGAGUGGUGGCCAUCAUGGCCCUGGUGGGGGAUUUUUACCAAACUUGGACUAGAAAAGGCGCAGCGGCCACACAGGGAAAACAUGACACGAGCUGUAGCAAGCGUGAUGCAAAGGUGCCUGUCAGGUUGAGCAUGAAGAAGCAAUUGGCAUGCACGCGCGGGCAACUAUGACAACAUGCAACAUGCCAGGGCCACCAACAUACAGGGGGCCCAGAUGCACAACAUGAGUCAGCCACACCCUUACCCUGCACUCAGCCAGCUGGCCCAUGUGUACGAGCAACAGCAGCCUAGCAAAGAACUCAACAAAUAUGCGUCACUAAAGGCUGUGGCAGCGAAAGCCAGUGGUGACUUCUACAACAAGCAGCAUUGCCACUUGACAGAAUUGACAGCGAAAGGCAACCUGCCCCUGCACACAAUGAGGGUGGAGCAUGUGGAGCCCACCGCAACCUAUGUCACAGAAAUCCCCUGCCCCAAGCAGAAUGGACAGAAACCUAAGACUGCUAAGGCCCAUUUGCCGCAUCAUGUGGCCUACAGCUCCAACACCAUAGCCACACCAGGCAUGCUGAAAUACUGGGACGGCACAGAGACUGUGGGUCGACGCAAAGCCUACGGCCCAAAGAAUCCCUGCCCGGUGAGUCAGAUGAACGAGCUCCAAACUGCCCACAGCCACCAUUACCUUCCCACACAGCCCUACUUCGUAACCAACAGUAAGACGGAAGUGACCGUUUGAAGGAUUGACCUGCCUUCAAGAGGUUAUUCACGCCCAGAGAGAAUGCAGAAAGGAAGGAAGCAGAAUCAAUCGAUAUCCUAACAGUAAAACUCCAGUCUGCCCCUAGCGAAGUGGCAUAACUGCGGAGUUGAGUUGGCUGCACUCUGAUUGGCAGCAACGAGAGACCUCACCAUGCCAACAACUGAUUACAAAAGCAGGAACAAUUCAGGACCUGUUUUCAGAAAAAUGUUCACUACAGUUCAUACCUAUUAACAAUUGAUGAUGUGUUUGUGUUCAAUCCACAACAUGAUAAAGUUUCAGACAAAAAGGAAUGAGAUAAAAAGAGUCAAAUAAGCAAGCAAUAAAAAUGAAUUAAUGAACUAAAACAUCAACGAAUGGCUAUAAAACUGACUCAAAAAUGCAUUGCAGUAUUAAGCCCAAAGGUCCAAGGGCUAGUGUGGAGUAUGGAAAAAGUCCAGAACUCUACACAAUAAUCAACAUGAUGUCUGUUAAGCUGGAUCUUCCCUCAGAUAAUUCCUCAACUGCUGAAACUAGUCUUGUUUACUAUAUGGGAAAUGAAAUUGGUGGCAGAUGCCUUAUUUUAAAGAUACUUUUGAACGCCUUAUUAAAAAGAUCAAUACUAAUACUACAGACAGUUCUGCAGGAUUCCUAUAAGUUCCUAUAGUCAGUUUAGACAUUGUGUAGUAGACAAUACUACACAAGUAUUAUAAAUUGCCAUAAGAAAGUACUUCAGGAAUAUUGUGGAAGGUGAAAAUAUUAUAGAUUAUUAUAAAAGUAUUAUACAGCACUACAUAAGAUGUAUAGUUUCUUAUAGUGUUGCUACAGUUCUUUUUUUUCUAAGGGAAGAAGCAGUGAAAGAAACACAAAUGAACCUUCAUAUCAUGGACUGGUAUUCUAGGGCUGCACCUUUCAUUUUCACAUCAAAAAAGCUUCACAGGUGAAGAUGGGAGAACCCUUUCAUUUAAUCUACUCUCAAAAAUCUGUGCCAUGUAACGAGCCUCACAAAAUAUGCUCCAUUUCUCAAGAGCUAGAAUUAUCUUUCAAGGAGAUCAUUUCUACUAUAUUGAUCACAGAGUACCAUGAGGUAGCAUUGGCAGUCCAGGGAAAAAGGACAAGUAGUGAAAAGUACUGUUAAUGAACAUGGUCACUCCGCUACAGAUUGUGCCUGUUAGCCCUUGAUCUUCGAAAAUAAGUGGUUGAUCUCCCUUUUGGAAUAUUCAACUUUUAUUUCUUAAGUGUUUUAUUGCAUCCUCUUGGACGCAUAAGAGCAUGUUGAACUAUUUGUCCAAUGCUUCUUCACAACAGUAGACGUCUAUGCAACUCAGUUGCAACCACAAGAUUUUAGCACUUUAAUUUCAGUAGUUGAGUAGAACUGGAGGAGCAUUAUUUUUUCAAACAGACAUUCUGGUGAAAACGAUUUAAAAAAACACACACACACACACACAGAGUACAUUGUGCCAAGAAUUAGCUUGUUGAAGUUUGUGUUUAAUUUUAUUAUUAUCUAUUUGUCUUUUUCACUCAGUUGUGCAUUCCAGAUAACAAUGUUGCUGCAUCACAAUAUAAUACAUGUGGUGGUUCUGGAAAGCAAAAUCAAGUCAUAAUAUUGGAAUAAAAUAAUAAUUUCUUUCUUC